This 618-nucleotide long non-coding RNA is filed under the name Olea europaea subsp. europaea. Lineage: Eukaryota; Viridiplantae; Streptophyta; Magnoliopsida; Lamiales; Oleaceae. The record is from RNAcentral.
GGAAACCCUAAUCUCUUAAGACAAAGGUGACAUCUCUUCUUCAGCUACUCGCCGUCAAAUCUGCAAUGUCAGUCGUCGACAGCAAGUCGCCCAUGCCAAUUAGGGUAAAAUCGGGGUUAGAGCUGUGUAUUGGAGCCUUGUUAUUGGUUCUCGCAUAUGGUAUUUCCUUUAAAGAAUUUGCAUACCCAAAUUUAAUUGCUUCAAAUUUCAAAUUUGUAAAUGCUUCUCGGAGAUUUUGUUAUCUCGUAAUGGGAAAUUUAAAGCAAUUAUGUUCAAUCCUAGUGCGCAGCAAAUCAGAUUCUACUUGUGCGUUAUCCACUUGGAAUCCAACACCAUUAUCUUUUUUUGCAAAUCGUGAUACGCCCGUUUCAAAUUCAGGGAUCAUGGUUUGACUGCGAAUGGUAUAGUUCCUACAUAAGGUUUGUUAGCCAACCCCCAUUAUCAACUCCAAUAAAUCAUCAAUAUUUUUUUUCCCUCGCUUAUAAUUAUGUUAUCUUUGAAUCUCUUAAGCUAUUGCCUCGUUUUGGUAUUCGUCAUAUUGUCCCUUCGAACUGACAGGGAAGUACUUUUUGUUUCUUAAGGAGAUUCCAACUUCCUACAUUUGUUUGUUUCUUUAAU